UACGUAGGGGGCUAGCGUUGUCCGGAAUCAUUGGGCGUAAAGAGCGUGUAGGCGGCCCGAUAAGUCCGCUGUGAAAGUCCAGGGCUCAACCCUGGGAUGCCGGUGGAUACUGUCGGGCUCGAGUCCGGAAGAGGAGUGUGGAAUUCCUGGUGUAGCGGUGAAAUGCGCAGAUAUCAGGAGGAACACCGAUGGCGAAGGCAGCACUCUGGGACGUGACUGACGCUGAGACGCGAAAGCGUGGGGAGCAAACAGG
This 253-nucleotide ribosomal RNA is filed under the name uncultured bacterium. Its description in RNAcentral is "partial 16S ribosomal RNA". It matches the Rfam family "Bacterial small subunit ribosomal RNA", at positions 524 to 776 of the family's 1533-position model. The record is from RNAcentral.